UCUUCUCCAUCCUGAAGAAAACAGACAUCUGGUCCCAAGCCCACAAGGAAGAAGCUGAAUUGCAAAAAUAAGUGUAUCACAAACCAGACCCAAAGAGCUCUUUGCAGGAUCUUCUAAAACCUCAGACAGUGCAGAGGAAAAGUUGAUAACUGUGCAACCCACUGACCUUUCUGCCAGGGAGUUUGUGGUUUACCAGUAUGGCCUCUCCAUCCUGCACCUCCUCAUCCCCCAGCUGCAUGCUCCAGAAAUCACCCUGAAGAUUUCUUCUCAUCUUCCUGCCAUGGAAGCCCAAGGCAGUGCCUUCCAAGGUGCCUUCUUCUACCAGUGCUGAAAACACACUGUUCAUUGGGAGAGAAUGUUUGGCCUCUGUGGGAAGCUUUGUUCUGCUGCUGAUCCGCUGCCUGGCCCACAUCACUGCUGGGGAACCCCACCAGGACUCCGGCCCUGCCUUUCUGGGGUCAUUUUACAAGGGCCUGGAGGCCUAUUUCAGGGAAGCAUUCCCUAUCACACUGAGAAUGGCAGCAGUUUCCAGGGACAGUAAACUUGACCAAAGCAUAAGUGCUAUCCUGCUGGAAGAGCAGCCCAUCUCUGACAGAGGAAGAGAUCUUCUGUCUAAACUCAUUGAAAUGAAGCAUGUGUCUAUCUCCCUUGGAGCCAGAACCACUAGAAGAGUAUAUUCAGAAAAACAAAGAUCUUCUGCUCUUUACCAGUAUGGAACAUUUCCUAAAAAGCAUCCUCGCUGCAGAAUAACAAAUCCUAAGAAAACCAAGAAAUCAAUUUGGGAGUGAAGAUAAGAUCUAGAAAGAAAAUGGUAAUCUCAUUUCAGUCUGCAUGAUUAAAAGGUCUUAAAUACAUCACUACAACAUCUGAUGAAGCUGAUAAGAAUUAUUGGAAAAUCUAUAAUAUUCAUGGUAAAUCACAUAAAUGUGUAUCAUAGUUUUAGGUGUAUAUAUAAUAGGGGCUAAUAUUUGCCACAGAAGUUGAGGACCCCUGCUCACUGUGACUAAAAUUUUCAGUGUGACUAAAAUAUCAUUAGAUCAUGUAUCUUAUUAAAAUAUUUAUUAAAGAUAUUGACUAAAACUCUUUCUGGGAAUGU
Molecule: small RNA, 1096 nt
Filed under: Pan troglodytes (chimpanzee)
Lineage: Eukaryota; Metazoa; Chordata; Mammalia; Primates; Hominidae
Description: processed transcript
Source: RNAcentral